UGGGGAAUAUUGCACAAUGGGCGCAAGCCUGAUGCAGCCAUGCCGCGUGUAUGAAGAAGGCCUUCGGGUUGUAAAGUACUUUCAGCGGGGAGGAAGGUGUUGAGGCUAAUAACCUCAGCAAUUGACGUUACCCGCAGAAGAAGCACCGGCUAACUCCGUGCCAGCAGCCGCGGUAAUACGGAGGGUGCAAGCGGUAAUCGGAAUUACUGGGCGUAAAGCGCACGCAGGCGGUCUGUCAAGUCGGAUGUGAAAUCCCCGGGCUCAACCUGGGAACUGCAUUCGAAACUGGCAGGCUAGAGUCUUGUAGAGGGGGGUAGAAUUCCAGGUGUAGCGGUGAAAUGCGUAGAGAUCUGGAGGAAUACCGGUGGCGAAGGCGGCCCCCUGGACAAAGACUGACGCUCAGGUGCGAAAGCGUGGGGAGCAAACA
This 427-nucleotide ribosomal RNA is filed under the name uncultured bacterium. RNAcentral describes it as "partial 16S ribosomal RNA". It matches the Rfam family "Bacterial small subunit ribosomal RNA", at positions 355 to 774 of the family's 1533-position model. The record is from RNAcentral.